This 428-nucleotide ribosomal RNA is filed under the name Bacteroidota bacterium. RNAcentral describes it as "Bacteroidetes bacterium partial 16S ribosomal RNA". It matches the Rfam family "Bacterial small subunit ribosomal RNA", at positions 355 to 776 of the family's 1533-position model. Lineage: Bacteria; Pseudomonadati; Bacteroidota. The record is from RNAcentral.
UAGGGAAUCUUCCGCAAUGGACGCAAGUCUGACGGAGCAACGCCGCGUGAGUGAAGAAGGAUUUCGGUUCGUAAAACUCUGUUGUUAGAGAAGAACAGCGCAUAGAGUAACUGUUAUGCGUGUGACGGUAUCUAACCAGAAAGCCACGGCUAACUACGUGCCAGCAGCCGCGGUAAUACGUAGGUCCCGAGCGUUGUCCGGAUUUAUUGGGCGUAAAGCGAGCGCAGGCGGUUAGAUAAGUCUGAAGUUAAAGGCAGUGGCUCAACCAUUGUAGGCUUUGGAAACUGGUUGACUUGAGUGCAGAAGAGGAGAGUGGAAUUCCAUGUGUAGCGGUGAAAUGCGUAGAUAUAUGGAGGAACACCAGUGGCGAAGGCGACUCUCUGGUCUGUAACUGACGCUGAGGCUCGAAAGCGUGGGUAGCAAACAGG